This 227-nucleotide long non-coding RNA is filed under the name Physcomitrium patens. RNAcentral's name for it is "long non-coding RNA (PPAT_LNC014920)". Lineage: Eukaryota; Viridiplantae; Streptophyta; Bryopsida; Funariales; Funariaceae. The record is from RNAcentral.
UGUGAGGGGGUUGACAACCUUCGCAGUUUGGAUUAAUCGAGUUUAGGAAGACAUUUAUCAGUGCUUGAUUGCUGGAUUCAUUUGAAAUUUCGGAAGCAUCAAGAUUUAUAAGCUAAGCUUUGAAGGGCAUAAGUUUCGCUGGAUUUGAAGAUAAUUUGAAUUUUUAGCAAAUUUCUAAGUGAAGGGGGUUGGUCGCCGCGGUAGUUUGGAUCACUCAACUUCAAAGG